CUUCCGGUCCGAGUGAAUGUGGUUCUUGCGCCUGCAGAGUUCAGGGCUGGUGCUGCUGUGCGUGCGGUUGUGUUUUUCGCCAGUCGGCCUUCCUCCUCCGGGACCAUGGCCACCGAUUCGUGGGCCCUGGCAGUGGACAAGCAGGAAGCGGCUGUCAAGUCGAUGAGUAAUUUGCAGAUCAAGGAAGAGAAAGUCAAACCAGAUACCAAUGUUCUUCCAGUUGUUGAAAG
Delphinapterus leucas (beluga whale) is the source of this 230-nucleotide non-coding RNA. The record is from RefSeq and is a predicted model, not a curated record. Lineage: Eukaryota; Metazoa; Chordata; Mammalia; Artiodactyla; Monodontidae.